This is a long non-coding RNA of Pseudoliparis swirei, 1300 nucleotides long. RefSeq lists it as uncharacterized. Lineage: Eukaryota; Metazoa; Chordata; Actinopteri; Perciformes; Liparidae. The transcript has 2 exons. The record is from RefSeq and is a predicted model, not a curated record.
ACCCGUCGUGCAACUCGAAACAAUUUACUUUCAGUUUUCCCAAAAGGAAGUUGGCGCAAAUUAGACUGCGGGGCUGGAUGUGUGAUCAUGGAGGUCAGAGGUGAUGAAGAGGUUGCAGAUGGCCAUCAUGUCAUCCAACGCUGAUGUUUCCAUCAGAGUCCAGGGAUGAGCGGUCCAAUGGUAUCACGUGCUUUAAAACAAAUUGUUUCUAUCCGUGACAUUUCUUUGACCUACUUAACUCAACUUGCACUGACAUGACUGUGGUUCGUCGACUUGGGUCUCCAGAAAGGAUGGAUGUGGUUGAAGAGGGUUCGUUCACACACUCCACCACUCUGACCAACAAGCAGCGUGGGAACGAGGUCACCGUGCGCCCGGCGAGCCUGGACGGUGAAUACCGGGAAGAUGCUCCGGGGGCGAAGUGCACGUACACAACUGUCGGUGUAUUUAACAGUGUAAUUACCUCAAAGUACAAGAAGAUGAACGACAGCAAAGCUACUCAUGCAUCUAGUUUGGUUUCCUAAAGUUACAAAUGUACUAACAUCUUUUACCCAUGGGGUAAAUUUGACCCCAGCAAUUAAAACCUCCAGAAAAUUAUUAGAAUUAAUAUUGUUUCCCAAGUUUAAGUGCCAGGUACUUUAGGUUUGUUUGUUGACUACCUAAAUAGCCUUUUAAAUGAAUAAAAACCCUCCUAUUACCUUUGAGGUCAAUUUGACCCCAUUCAAUGUUUAACGUCUCUAAACAUUUCUGAUUUUUUUUUCCUGGGGUCAAAUUGACCACGAACAUAAUCCAUGUUAUUUUUCUUGAUAACAGAAAUAGUUUUUCAUUCCAAAUGGUAUACAAAAAACAUGUACUUAGAAGUAAUAUAAAGCCAUUAACAAUGUUAAUGGCUUCAUAUUAUAUGGCUUAAACACAAUUAUAAGAACAUAUAAUACAAACGCUCAAUUGGUUGUGUGCACACUUGUUCAGGUUUAUACAUAAACAAACACACAACCAAUACCUCAUUAACAACAUUGAACUUGCCUCCUCGACUGAUCUAAAACAAACAUGAGCCUGUUGUCUUGUUAGUUCCAUGACAUCGUGUAACUGUUGUAAAUGCACAAAGGUGAGAGGUCACACAGACCGAGACCCCGGUCACAGUCACGAGGCAUUGCAAUAGAUCUGUGCUGUUUAUUCCUUUUGCAUGUUUUCUCUUGUAUGUUUUGAAAUGUACUAACAAGGACUACAAUGCACUUUGUGUUUGGUUGGAGGACAACAACAAAAAAGGACAGGGAACAAGUUUGAAUUUUAAAAAAAAACUGUA